AUUCCGGAGAGGGAGCCUGAGAAACGGCUACCACAUCCAAGGAAGGCAGCAGGCGCGCAAAUUACCCACUCCCGGCACGGGGAGGUAGUGACGAAAAAUAACGAUACGGGACUCAUCCGAGGCCCCGUAAUCGGAAUGAGUACACUCUAAACCCUUUAACGAGGAUCAAUUGGAGGGCAAGUCUGGUGCCAGCAGCCGCGGUAACUCCAGCUCCAAUAGCGUAUAUUAAAGUUGUUGCGGUUAAAAAGCUCGUAGUCGAAUUUGUGUCUCGUGCCGCUGGUUCAUCGUCCGCGGUGUUAACUGGCGAGUCGCGAGACGUCCUGCCGGUGGGCUUAGCUCGCAAGGGCGGCCCAACUCAAUCCUGCCGCGGUGCUCUUCAUUGAGUGUCGAGGUGGGCCGGCACGUUUACUUUGAACAAAUUAGAGUGCUUAAAGCAGGCUAAAACUUCGCCUGAAUACUGUGUGCAUGGAAUAAUGGAAUAGGACCUCGGUUCUAUUUUGUUGGUUUUCGGAACCCCGAGGUAAUGAUUAAUAGGAACGGAUGGGGGCAUUCGUAUUGCGACGUUAGAGGUGAAAUUGUUGGACCGUC
Molecule: ribosomal RNA, 588 nt
Filed under: Brachypera zoilus
Lineage: Eukaryota; Metazoa; Arthropoda; Insecta; Coleoptera; Curculionidae
Description: SSU rRNA
Rfam family: Eukaryotic small subunit ribosomal RNA
Source: RNAcentral